UAGUUAAGAUCUUGAAACUCAAAGAAUUUGGCGGUGUUUUAGUCUAUUCAGAGGAAUCUGUUCCGUAAUUGAUAAUUCACGAACUAUUGUACUUAAUUUUGUAAAGUCAAUUUGUAUACCGCCGUCAUCAGAUUAUUUUUUUAGAAUGAAAAUUUUCUUUAGGUUGAAUGUGAAGGAUAUGUCAGGUCAAGGUGCAAUGUAUGAUUAAGUGGAAAUGGAUUACAAUAAAAUUUUAUUUAUAAUGGAUUUUGAUAUGAAAAUUCAAUUGAAGGUGGAUUUGAUAGUAAUGUUAUAUAGGUUUAUAAUUUGAUUAUAGCUCUAAAAUAUGCACAUAUCGCCCGUCGCUCUCAUUUUUUAAAGUGAGAUAAGUCGUAACAUAGUAGAUGUACUGGAAAGUGUAUCUAGAACGU
This 410-nucleotide ribosomal RNA is filed under the name Hemiandrus sp. OZ10. RNAcentral's name for it is "partial 12S ribosomal RNA". It matches the Rfam family "Microsporidia small subunit ribosomal RNA", at positions 755 to 1309 of the family's 1311-position model. Lineage: Eukaryota; Metazoa; Arthropoda; Insecta; Orthoptera; Anostostomatidae. The record is from RNAcentral.